GCUCCAGUUCCUCUGUACUCUGUGAUAUUGGUUCAAAAGCCUUUUUAUUUAUCGUAGAUGAGCAUUAAAUCUUCACCAUCAGGUACCGUGAAGUCUGCAUUUUAAAGAGAAACUAAAUGAGACUGACCCGAGGUCACAGUCUGGCUUUAUCCUUUGAUCACACACCUUUAAACAUUUCUUGAAGCUCGAGCAUUUCUCUCAUUAGCUGGAUGGAGUUCACCUUUACUUCUGGCAUGCAUACUGAGCAGGCUGCUCUCCGCAGAGCCGCUAAAUGUGUUUACUCUCCGCGGACCCUCCAUCCACAGACUUUCUGACAGCUGCACGCUGCGUUUGGCUCCCGGGCUGCUUCGCAAUGACGAGACCAUGUCGCAGAAUAAUUGGAAAAUCGGGAAACAAACUGUGACAAGAAAAUCCUGGGGUGUGUAGUUGUUCCACAAGUGUGUAAAAUUAGCGUUCUGUGAGGUUUUGAUGGUUUUGCAUAUGUUGUUUCUCUGCAACGGGAGGAG
This is a long non-coding RNA of Salarias fasciatus (jewelled blenny), 506 nucleotides long. RefSeq lists it as uncharacterized. The record is from RefSeq and is a predicted model, not a curated record. NCBI's taxonomy places the organism in Eukaryota, Metazoa, Chordata, Actinopteri, Blenniiformes, Blenniidae. The transcript has 3 exons.